This 414-nucleotide ribosomal RNA is filed under the name uncultured bacterium. RNAcentral's name for it is "bacterial SSU rRNA". It matches the Rfam family "Bacterial small subunit ribosomal RNA", at positions 358 to 772 of the family's 1533-position model. The record is from RNAcentral.
AGAAUCAUUCACAAUGGGGGAAACCCUGAUGGUGCGACGCCGCGUGGGGGAUGAAGGUCUUCGGAUUGUAAACCCCUUUCGGGAGGGAAGAUGGGAUGGGGUAACCCAUUCGGACGGUACCUCCAGCAGCAGCCACGGCUAACUUCGUGCCAGCAGCCGCGGUAAUACGAAGGUGGCAAGCGUUGUUCGGAUUUACUGGGCGUACAGGGAGCGUAGGCGGUUGGGUAAGCCCUCCGUGAAAUCUCCAGGCUUAACCUGGAAAGUGCAGAGGGGACUGCUCAGCUAGAGGAUGGGAGAGGAGCGCGGAAUUCCCGGUGUAGCGGUGAAAUGCGUAGAGAUCGGGAGGAAGGCCGGUGGCGAAGGCGGCGCUCUGGAACAUUUCUGACGCUGAGGCUCGAAAGCGUGGGGAGCAAA